CAGCAGCCACGGGAACACGUAGGGUGCGAGCGUCAAUCGGAAUUACUGGGCGUAAAGCGUGCGCAGGCGGCUUUGCAAGACAGAUGUGAAAUCCCCGGGCUCAACCUGGGAACUGCAUUUGUGACUGCAUGGCUAGAGUACGGUAGAGGGGGAUGGAAUUCCGCGUGUAGCAGUGAAAUGCGUAGAUAUGCGGAGGAACACCGAUGGCGAAGGCAAUCCCCCGGACCUGUACUGACGCUCAUGCACGAAAGCGUGGGGAGCAAACAGGAUUAGAUACCCGCGUAGUCCCUGUCUCUUAUAC
This 301-nucleotide ribosomal RNA is filed under the name uncultured bacterium. Its description in RNAcentral is "partial 16S ribosomal RNA". It matches the Rfam family "Bacterial small subunit ribosomal RNA", at positions 509 to 807 of the family's 1533-position model. The record is from RNAcentral.